AGAGUUUGAUCAUGGCUCAGAACGAACGCUGGCGGCAUGCCUAACACAUGCAAGUCGAACGAGACCUUCGGGUCUAGUGGCGCACGGUGCGUAACGCGUGGGAAUCUGCCCUUAGGUUCGGAAUAACUUCGGGAAACUGAAGCUAAUACCGGAUGAUGACGUAAGUCCAAAGAUUUAUCGCCUAAGGAUGAGCCCGCGUUGGAUUAGCUAGUUGGUGAGGUAAAGGCUCACCAAGGCGACGAUCCAUAGCUGGUCUGAGAGGAUGAUCAGCCACACUGGGACUGAGACACGGCCCAGACUCCUACGGGAGGCAGCAGUGGGGAAUAUUGGACAAUGGGCGAAAGCCUGAUCCAGCAAUGCCGCGUGAGUGAUGAAGGCCUUAGGGUUGUAAAGCUCUUUUACCCGGGAUGAUAAUGACAGUACCGGGAGAAUAAGCUCCGGCUAACUCCGUG
This 452-nucleotide ribosomal RNA is filed under the name uncultured bacterium. RNAcentral's name for it is "bacterial SSU rRNA". It matches the Rfam family "Bacterial small subunit ribosomal RNA", at positions 8 to 507 of the family's 1533-position model. The record is from RNAcentral.